CAGAAUGCUACUUAAACUUCUGUUUCUAGCAAUAUGGUGGCCUAUCUACUCCGAAUGACUUUGCCACUGCUGAACAGGCAAGAGAUGUGUCACAGGGUAUAACCACAGAGGGUGUAAUGCAAGAAUCUCCCCGAAGACACCAAUGAUCAGAAACAGGAAAUGUUGGAACUUGCCACCGCUGUCAUCCAGCCCACCAAGCAUCUUUGCCCUGACCAGUGCCAUGUGCCAGAAUUGGUGUUUCUCUCCCCUGGCCUCUGUUAAAAACAUGAGCGGCUGAAGACAAGCAGACAUGUGCUUCUCCCUGAAAGCACCUGAGUAGAGGUUUGGCAGCGGG
This 334-nucleotide long non-coding RNA is filed under the name Heterocephalus glaber (naked mole-rat). RNAcentral describes it as "lncRNA (ENSHGLG00000027532.2)". Lineage: Eukaryota; Metazoa; Chordata; Mammalia; Rodentia; Bathyergidae. The record is from RNAcentral.